UUGAUCCUGGCUCAGAAUCAACGCUGGCGGCGUGCCUAACACAUGCAAGUCGAACGCGAAAGCCCCGCAAGGGGUAAGUAGAGUGGCAAACGGGUGAGUUACACGUGGGUGACCUGCCUUCGAGUGGGGGAUAACGUCCCGAAAGGGACUCUAAUACCGCAUGACAUCCUGCUUUUGGAAAAGCGGAGAUCAAAGCUGGUGAUCGUAAGACCUGGCGCUUGAAGAGGGGCCCGCGCCUGAUUAGCUAGUUGGUGGGGUAACGGCCUACCAAGGCGACGAUCAGUAUCCGGCCUGAGAGGUCGGACGGACACACUGGGACUGAGACACGGCCCAGACUCCUACGGGAGGCUGCAGUGGGGAAUUGUUCGCAAUGGGCGCAAGCCUGACGACGCAACGCCGUGUGGAGGACGAAGAUCUUCGGGUCGUAAACUCCUGUCGAGUGGGAAGAAUGCUUCGGGGGCGAAUAUCCUCCGGAAUUGACGGUACCACUAAAGGAGGCUCCGGCUAACUCCGUGCCAGCAGCCGCGGUAAUAAGGU
This 537-nucleotide ribosomal RNA is filed under the name uncultured Acidobacteriota bacterium. RNAcentral's name for it is "bacterial SSU rRNA". It matches the Rfam family "Bacterial small subunit ribosomal RNA", at positions 13 to 529 of the family's 1533-position model. The record is from RNAcentral. Lineage: Bacteria; Pseudomonadati; Acidobacteriota.